GAUUACUUCACAGCGAAUCGUGGUGCCGGAGGCGAGAGCGUGAAACAGCAGCAGGGUCCACGUGGAAGUUUGCCUGAUAUUCGGCUCAACAUUCAAAGACCGAUUCUAGCAGACCAGACUAAUGUGCUGACAAGCGGUAGUUUUGUACCUAUCGAGGCCAAUGUCAUUCAGCGAACCCCCGGACCAAAUCGACUGUCCAAGAAGAAUUUGAAAAGAUCGGCGGGGGUAGUGGUG
Molecule: long non-coding RNA, 234 nt
Organism: Gadus morhua (Atlantic cod)
Lineage: Eukaryota; Metazoa; Chordata; Actinopteri; Gadiformes; Gadidae
Exons: 3
Source: RefSeq, a predicted model, not a curated record